This 916-nucleotide long non-coding RNA is filed under the name Ananas comosus (pineapple). RNAcentral describes it as "long non-coding RNA (ACOM_LNC019538)". The record is from RNAcentral. Lineage: Eukaryota; Viridiplantae; Streptophyta; Magnoliopsida; Poales; Bromeliaceae.
UAUAAAAGACUAAAAGAGAGAGUUUUUAAUUUUUAUUCCCAAAAUGCCGGUCCCUAUUAAUAUAAUUCUAAUCACAUACUAACAAUAUCAUUCAUUCAAUUUAAUAGAAUAAAUCACAAUCGUACAAUUUUUAUUUUAUUUUUAAAUUAUCAUAAAAUAUAUUAAUUUUUAGUCAUUGGAUCUAAUCCAAUAGCUGACAAAUUAAAUAUCUAUUUUUUACCUAAAUUGCCUCGCGUACCAAAUUUCACUUUUUAUAUGCGUACUAAUAACCGCCGCACAUAUAAUAUCGUAUUUUAUCACAAAUAAUAUUCGUAUACGCCUUUCCUAAAUAUUUUUUUUCUCACACCCCGUCACACGUAAUAUCUGCCACCUACAUAACAUCCAAUCACGUAAUACCUUCGAGAUAUAUAAUAUUUAAUCAUAUUUUUUAAGAUGAAUAUAAAAAGUAUCUCAAUUUUAUCUACUAAUAUUUAAAAUAUGAGAUAUUUUUCAAUAAAAUAUAACAUAUGAAUUUACAAUUUAAAAAUUUAAAUUUAUUGAUAAAUGUGAUUUACAAAUUUAUAUUGUUUUAAUAUAAUUAUUAAAAUAGUUGUUGACUGAUUUUUUUAGUAGGUAAUAAUAUUGUAUUCUAUUUGCGAGAAUAGAAAAAAAUUUAUACUUAUCUAAAUUUCUGUCAACUGAAGGAUAUCUGCUAUAGAAUAUUUUUCAUAAGCUCCCCAUAAAAGAAUAUUUCAUACUCAGAAAAUCUCUACGCAACACACGUUGAGAAUAAUUAGUAUCCACUAUCUCUCAAUUAACUAACUAAAAAAAAUUGGUUUGAAAAAUAGAAUGAUUUAAAUAAGUUUAUCAAAUCGACUUUAAAUUUUAAAUUAGGUUCAUAAUUUCAAAUUUAAAUUAAUAUUUUAAUUCAAAACUU